GAGCCCAAAAAUUAUGGCCGGUUGACAUUUGUUAAUGGCAUCAAGGAGGCAAUUUUGGGGAAGCAGAUGGAAUCUCUGCAAACCAUUUUGAUUUCUAUGAAGAAAACAUGUGAAGAGUUUCAUGGUAUCGCUGUGUCUCUUGAAAAGAUUCUUCGGGAUGACAAACAACAAGUGAAUGGGGGUUCAAUGUCACCUGGCACGAACCAAAUACAAUUGCGUAUUGGGAUACGGCCAAGUCUAGCAGAUUGUUUGGAGGGGCUUAGACUAAUGCAUGAGAUGUACCACUCAGAGUAUCAACUCAAGUUAUCAAUAGUCUCAGCGCUGGUUUUGUAAAUCAGUGCAAGAAU
Molecule: long non-coding RNA, 347 nt
Organism: Telopea speciosissima
Lineage: Eukaryota; Viridiplantae; Streptophyta; Magnoliopsida; Proteales; Proteaceae
Exons: 3
Source: RefSeq, a predicted model, not a curated record